CGCAACGUGAGAAAGUUAUCCUGGACGAGCAGAGCAGAAGCUUGCUACAUCAUCUUUUAUCAGAAGAGGAUUCAUGAUCCAUUUCAAGGUUGCUCUGGACAGAGCGAGCUUUAAUCCUCCUUGAUAAUCUUGUUGAGAAAGGUACCCCUGGAGAUGACCACUUACAGCCUUCCAGUUAUCUUUUCUCCAUUGCUAAACUGGAUUGCUCAGGACAGGUAUUUUAUACCCACACACCAAAGAAACUUUUUGAAGUUUGGGGAGAUGCAUCACUGCGGACCCUCUCGUAUUGCAAAAAAAGAAGAGAGCCUUGGAUCUACCAGUUCAAGCAGACAUUU
Long non-coding RNA from Danio aesculapii, 335 nucleotides. RefSeq lists it as uncharacterized. Lineage: Eukaryota; Metazoa; Chordata; Actinopteri; Cypriniformes; Danionidae. The transcript is spliced from 4 exons. The record is from RefSeq and is a predicted model, not a curated record.